AGUGUUGCUUUUCGGCUUUCGUCAUUCAUUGAUUUUCGGCUUUCUUGUUACACUCCUGGAGGUUUUCUAACGUGAAAUUAACAAUCAAGUACUCCCACAACUAAAUCAACAGUUAACACAAGCUAAAUCAAAAGUUAACACAACCUAAAUUAGUAACGGUUUGCGAAUUUACACGAAAGUCGCUCACACAUGACUAAUUAAAACCUCCAAACAUAUUGAGAACCCUUACCACUUAACAAACAACAACUACACGAAUUUGAGGUCGCUGGAAA
Molecule: long non-coding RNA, 272 nt
Filed under: Gossypium barbadense (sea-island cotton)
Lineage: Eukaryota; Viridiplantae; Streptophyta; Magnoliopsida; Malvales; Malvaceae
Description: long non-coding RNA (GBAR_LNC020148)
Source: RNAcentral